UACGGGGGGGGCAAGCGUUGUUCGGAAUUACUGGGCGUAAAGGGCUCGUAGGCGGCCAACUAAGUCAGACGUGAAAUCCCUCGGCUUAACCGGGGAACUGCGUCUGAUACUGGAUGGCUUGAGUUUGGGAGAGGGAUGCGGAAUUCCAGGUGUAGCGGUGAAAUGCGUAGAUAUCAAGAGGAACACCUGAGGUGAAGACGGGUUGCUGGGCUGACACUGACGCUGAGGCGCGAAAGCCAGGGGAGCAAACGGG
This 253-nucleotide ribosomal RNA is filed under the name uncultured bacterium. RNAcentral describes it as "partial 16S ribosomal RNA". It matches the Rfam family "Bacterial small subunit ribosomal RNA", at positions 524 to 776 of the family's 1533-position model. The record is from RNAcentral.